This 2903-nucleotide ribosomal RNA is filed under the name Escherichia coli. RNAcentral's name for it is "23S ribosomal RNA". It matches the Rfam family "Bacterial large subunit ribosomal RNA". Lineage: Bacteria; Pseudomonadati; Pseudomonadota; Gammaproteobacteria; Enterobacterales; Enterobacteriaceae. The record is from RNAcentral.
UUAAGCGACUAAGCGUACACGGUGGAUGCCCUGGCAGUCAGAGGCGAUGAAGGACGUGCUAAUCUGCGAUAAGCGUCGGUAAGGUGAUAUGAACCGUUAUAACCGGCGAUUUCCGAAUGGGGAAACCCAGUGUGUUUCGACACACUAUCAUUAACUGAAUCCAUAGGUUAAUGAGGCGAACCGGGGGAACUGAAACAUCUAAGUACCCCGAGGAAAAGAAAUCAACCGAGAUUCCCCCAGUAGCGGCGAGCGAACGGGGAGGAGCCCAGAGCCUGAAUCAGUGUGUGUGUUAGUGGAAGCGUCUGGAAAGGCGUGCGAUACAGGGUGACAGCCCCGUACACAAAAAUGCACAUACUGUGAGCUCGAUGAGUAGGGCGGGACACGUGGUAUCCUGUCUGAAUAUGGGGGGACCAUCCUCCAAGGCUAAAUACUCCUGACUGACCGAUAGUGAACCAGUACCGUGAGGGAAAGGCGAAAAGAACCCCGGCGAGGGGAGUGAAAAAGAACCUGAAACCGUGUACGUACAAGCAGUGGGAGCCUCUUUAUGGGGUGACUGCGUACCUUUUGUAUAAUGGGUCAGCGACUUAUAUUCUGUAGCAAGGUUAACCGAAUAGGGGAGCCGAAGGGAAACCGAGUCUUAACUGGGCGUUAAGUUGCAGGGUAUAGACCCGAAACCCGGUGAUCUAGCCAUGGGCAGGUUGAAGGUUGGGUAACACUAACUGGAGGACCGAACCGACUAAUGUUGAAAAAUUAGCGGAUGACUUGUGGCUGGGGGUGAAAGGCCAAUCAAACCGGGAGAUAGCUGGUUCUCCCCGAAAGCUAUUUAGGUAGCGCCUCGUGAAUUCAUCUCCGGGGGUAGAGCACUGUUUCGGCAAGGGGGUCAUCCCGACUUACCAACCCGAUGCAAACUGCGAAUACCGGAGAAUGUUAUCACGGGAGACACACGGCGGGUGCUAACGUCCGUCGUGAAGAGGGAAACAACCCAGACCGCCAGCUAAGGUCCCAAAGUCAUGGUUAAGUGGGAAACGAUGUGGGAAGGCCCAGACAGCCAGGAUGUUGGCUUAGAAGCAGCCAUCAUUUAAAGAAAGCGUAAUAGCUCACUGGUCGAGUCGGCCUGCGCGGAAGAUGUAACGGGGCUAAACCAUGCACCGAAGCUGCGGCAGCGACGCUUAUGCGUUGUUGGGUAGGGGAGCGUUCUGUAAGCCUGCGAAGGUGUGCUGUGAGGCAUGCUGGAGGUAUCAGAAGUGCGAAUGCUGACAUAAGUAACGAUAAAGCGGGUGAAAAGCCCGCUCGCCGGAAGACCAAGGGUUCCUGUCCAACGUUAAUCGGGGCAGGGUGAGUCGACCCCUAAGGCGAGGCCGAAAGGCGUAGUCGAUGGGAAACAGGUUAAUAUUCCUGUACUUGGUGUUACUGCGAAGGGGGGACGGAGAAGGCUAUGUUGGCCGGGCGACGGUUGUCCCGGUUUAAGCGUGUAGGCUGGUUUUCCAGGCAAAUCCGGAAAAUCAAGGCUGAGGCGUGAUGACGAGGCACUACGGUGCUGAAGCAACAAAUGCCCUGCUUCCAGGAAAAGCCUCUAAGCAUCAGGUAACAUCAAAUCGUACCCCAAACCGACACAGGUGGUCAGGUAGAGAAUACCAAGGCGCUUGAGAGAACUCGGGUGAAGGAACUAGGCAAAAUGGUGCCGUAACUUCGGGAGAAGGCACGCUGAUACGUAGGUGAAGUCCCUUGCGGAUGGAGCUGAAAUCAGUCGAAGAUACCAGCUGGCUGCAACUGUUUAUUAAAAACACAGCACUGUGCAAACACGAAAGUGGACGUAUACGGUGUGACGCCUGCCCGGUGCCGGAAGGUUAAUUGAUGGGGUUAGCGGUAACGCGAAGCUCUUGAUCGAAGCCCCGGUAAACGGCGGCCGUAACUAUAACGGUCCUAAGGUAGCGAAAUUCCUUGUCGGGUAAGUUCCGACCUGCACGAAUGGCGUAAUGAUGGCCAGGCUGUCUCCACCCGAGACUCAGUGAAAUUGAACUCGCUGUGAAGAUGCAGUGUACCCGCGGCAAGACGGAAAGACCCCGUGAACCUUUACUAUAGCUUGACACUGAACAUUGAGCCUUGAUGUGUAGGAUAGGUGGGAGGCUUUGAAGUGUGGACGCCAGUCUGCAUGGAGCCGACCUUGAAAUACCACCCUUUAAUGUUUGAUGUUCUAACGUUGGCCCCUAAUCGGGGUUGCGGACAGUGUCUGGUGGGUAGUUUGACUGGGGCGGUCUCCUCCUAAAGAGUAACGGAGGAGCACGAAGGUUGGCUAAUCCUGGUCGGACAUCAGGAGGUUAGUGCAAUGGCAUAAGCCAGCUUGACUGCGAGCGUGACGGCGCGAGCAGGUGCGAAAGCAGGUCAUAGUGAUCCGGUGGUUCUGAAUGGAAGGGCCAUCGCUCAACGGAUAAAAGGUACUCCGGGGAUAACAGGCUGAUACCGCCCAAGAGUUCAUAUCGACGGCGGUGUUUGGCACCUCGAUGUCGGCUCAUCACAUCCUGGGGCUGAAGUAGGUCCCAAGGGUAUGGCUGUUCGCCAUUUAAAGUGGUACGCGAGCUGGGUUUAGAACGUCGUGAGACAGUUCGGUCCCUAUCUGCCGUGGGCGCUGGAGAACUGAGGGGGGCUGCUCCUAGUACGAGAGGACCGGAGUGGACGCAUCACUGGUGUUCGGGUUGUCAUGCCAAUGGCACUGCCCGGUAGCUAAAUGCGGAAGAGAUAAGUGCUGAAAGCAUCUAAGCACGAAACUUGCCCCGAGAUGAGUUCUCCCUGACUCCUUGAGAGUCCUGAAGGAACGUUGAAGACGACGACGUUGAUAGGCCGGGUGUGUAAGCGCAGCGAUGCGUUGAGCUAACCGGUACUAAUGAACCGUGAGGCUUAACCUU